GUUGCUCUUGCAAAGGCGGCGGGAGCGUAGAAAGCGUCUGCGGCCUCUGCGGCGACGUUGGUGGGUCCGGCCAGUCUUUCAACUGCGUAAAGAAGGACUUUACGGCUAUGCAACGGAUACGUCAGGAUGACCACGGAUUUUUCAACAAGUUCUUUCGCAAGGCGCCGCAGCUCUUGGACAAGCUAUUGAGCUUUUUAGCAGAGGACCUCACACGGCAGCACCACAUUCGAGAAACCCCUGGAGCCUGGAGAACGACUUGCUGUAGCAUUGAGAAGCAAUGCUUCCUAACGUAUCCAGCCUACGACUGCCUGCUGAAGCCAGCGAUGCUUCUGACUGCGGACUGCUGUGGUGUGCCUCAGAAUCCUCAGGAACCAGAACUUCCUUGAAACAUCGGUGAUUCAAGAGAUUCCAAAAUGUCCUGAGACUCCACAGACUCAUGCGACGCCGAAGACAGAGUCGAUGCUGGCGCUUGUGACUCUUCACUUGACGGUGAUGGCACUUCAAGUGUUGCCAGAUCGGAAAACUGGCACAUUUUUUGUUAAGAUGUCUGCAGCACUUCCCUCCUCACUCGAUGGGGGGCACUGGUGGAAGGUUGGCGGAC
This 601-nucleotide long non-coding RNA is filed under the name Dermacentor andersoni. Its description in RNAcentral is "uncharacterized LOC126545468". Lineage: Eukaryota; Metazoa; Arthropoda; Arachnida; Ixodida; Ixodidae. The record is from RNAcentral.